GGGGGGAUAGCUCAAUUUGGUUAGAGCCCCCCGCUCAUAACGGGGUGGUUGGGGGUUCAAGUCCCUCUCCCCCUACCA
Molecule: transfer RNA, 78 nt
Filed under: Hellea sp.
Lineage: Bacteria; Pseudomonadati; Pseudomonadota; Alphaproteobacteria; Maricaulales; Robiginitomaculaceae
Description: tRNA-Ile
Rfam family: tRNA
About the family: Transfer RNA (tRNA) molecules are approximately 80 nucleotides in length. Their secondary structure includes four short double-helical elements and three loops (D, anti-codon, and T loops).
Source: RNAcentral